RNAcentral lists this ribosomal RNA (200 nucleotides) under uncultured bacterium. RNAcentral describes it as "partial 16S ribosomal RNA". It matches the Rfam family "Bacterial small subunit ribosomal RNA", at positions 29 to 220 of the family's 1533-position model. The record is from RNAcentral.
AGCGAACGUUAGCGGCGGGCCUAACACAUGCAAGUCGAGCGAGAAAGGGACUUCGGUCCUGAGUAAAGCGGCGGACGGGUGAGAAAUACGUAGGUAACCUGCCUUUCAGUGGGGGACAACGGUCCGAAAGGACCGCUAAUACCGCAUACGUCGUCCGGGAUCUCGAUUCUGGACGGGAAAGCUGGGGCAACCUGGCGCUG